GGAUAAUCCCGGGUGACCGGGGAAAGGUCGCUCCCGGCUGGUGGGGGCGGCCCCUCUUGCGCGGUGCAGAAAACCUGCACGGGCGGGGAGGCAGGAUUCACCAGCUCCUCUGGCACGGUCGCACGUGCCGGUACUGCGAACAAGGAGCCUGGCGGUUAGGAGCGUCCCAGAAGCCGCUCCGAGCCGAGUCAAGUAGUCCGGGUGGGCUUCGGCCCCGGACGAAUCGCAGUUACCCUGAGGGUUCACGGUUGCUACUGCGUACCAGCACGGUGCGAGUGGACCUGGCGGCUGCGGUGACGUAAAGCCGCCCAAACAAACCCCCCGGAAGGGGGACAAAAAGGGCGCUCGUACCGGGGAGGACACGGGACCGGGCAAUUCCCGUGAAAACCUUCCGGAGAGGUGGCGAUGCCGAAAAGGGCACCGCUGCCUUGCGAGGGAAAGGCAACCUGAGAGGUAAGAGGCGAGACCCGUGGCACCGGGUCAACGCACCACCACAAGUGGUGGCUGCCCCGGCGCUAAGUGGUCAAGACGCGAUGCCUCGCAAGCGUGUCUUGGCCUGGUUCGCAGGCUGGUGGCGCAACCACCCGCCGAAGCGAGCUGAAAAGCCUCACUCAACAAUCCCGGCGCCGCAAGGCCCGGGACGGCCCUGCUACGAGGCCGAUAACUCCGCCUUGCCGCGGGGAAUAGCGUCGGGAAGCCGGCAGCCCUCAGUGGCGCCUAAUGCCGGCACGGGAAAGAGAGCGUGGCGCACUCC
This 754-nucleotide non-coding RNA is filed under the name unclassified sequences. RNAcentral's name for it is "MISL RNA". It matches the Rfam family "MISL RNA". The record is from Rfam by way of RNAcentral.